Molecule: ribosomal RNA, 403 nt
Filed under: uncultured bacterium
Lineage: Bacteria
Description: bacterial SSU rRNA
Rfam family: Bacterial small subunit ribosomal RNA
Source: RNAcentral
AUUGAACGCUGGCGGCAUGCCUAACACAUGCAAGUCGAACGGCAGCACGGCAGUAGCAAUACUGUGGGUGGCGAGUGGCGGACGGGUGAGGAAUACGUCGGAAUCUGCCCAAUCGUGGGGGAUAACUAACCGAAAGGUUAGCUAAUACCGCAUACGACCGAGAGGUGAAAGCGGGGGACCGCAAGGCCUCGCGCGAUUGGAUGAGCCGACGUCGGAUUAGCUUGUUGGUGGGGUAAAGGCCUACCAAGGCAACGAUCCGUAGCUGGUCUGAGAGGAUGAUCAGCCACACUGGAACUGAGACACGGUCCAGACUCCUACGGGAGGCAGCAGUGGGGAAUAUUGGACAAUGGGCGGAAGCCUGAUCCAGCAAUGCCGCGUGUGUGAAGAAGGCCUCGGUUGUAAG